Molecule: long non-coding RNA, 2054 nt
Organism: Anolis carolinensis (green anole)
Lineage: Eukaryota; Metazoa; Chordata; Lepidosauria; Squamata; Anolidae
Source: Ensembl
AUGGUCUCCUCCAUCAGCCUGGCCCUCUGUGUGGGCAUCGCUGCUCUCUUGGUUGAGCUUCCCGGUGCAACAGCCAAGGAGCGGCCUGGCUACUGCCUGAACAUGCCGGUCCCGUCCUCACACCCUUCGGCCAAGAGCGGCUGCAGAAGGUGCGACGUGGACGCCGACUGUCUCCGGAAGGAUAAGUGUUGUGGUUCCCUUUGCGGCAACACCUGCCAGGUGCCUGAGCCACGUAAGGACACUUUUGGGCCAUUUUAUGGGGGGAACGGGGGCGACUGGGGGGGGGGUGUCUGUAUGUAGAGACAGCAGGUGCAGCCUUUUCUGUCCCCUCGGCGAAGGGGCCCAGACCUCUUCCUCCAGGAUGGGCCUUUGGAGGGGUGGGGGUAAUAAGGAUGCGCGCUCCAGAACUGGCCAGGCCCCACCGCAGGACCUCUUGCCCGCUGCAAGCCCAUAUUCCACCCAACAUCCCCCCCCCCCCCCAGUGAGGGUCAAACUGGACCGCGGAGCAAACAAGAGGUGAAACUCCAGUCUGGGCACAAAUGUGGCCCUUGGAAAAGGAGGUUCCAGUUCCCCACAUGGCCCCCUCCCCCGUGUGUUUCUGCUCUGAAGGAUGACCAGCAAUGACCGUUGGAGGGGUUUGGACCCAGAGGGGCCGAUGCUGGCAACCAGCACACAAAGAUAACCUCCGUCCCCAGUGCGUGGCCUGAGGAGAUUGCAAGGACUGUCGCUCCCCAUGGAAGCCCGCCUGGCCUCUAUAUCAUCGAUAAUAGAACACUUUAUUUACAUUCUGCCCUUCUCCCCGAGGGGACUCAGAGCGGAUUGCAGCAUAUAAAUCAGGGGUCCUCAAACUUUUUAAGUGGAGGGCCGAUUCACAGUCCCUCAGACUGUUGGGGGGCCGGACUAGGAUGAAAAAGUCGAAAAUAUUAGGAUUGUUUUUGUGUGCCUUAAUGUCAUUUCAGACUUAGGUCAACCCUAACAUAAGACCAUAAGUAAACAAAGAGACCUCGAAAGUCCAUCUAGAUGGUCUCAUCAGGCCAUCAGAAGACCAUAGUUAAGGAAAGGGACCUCAAAGAGCAUCUAGACAAUCUCAUAAAACCAUAGAUAAGGAAAGGCACUCUCAAAGGCCAUCUAGACGGUCUCAUAGGAACACAGGAAAGAAAAGGGACUCUCAAAGGCCAUCUAGAUGGUCUCAUAGGAAUAUAGGAAAGAAAAGGCACUCUCAAAGGCCAUCUAGACGGUCUCAUAGGAACAUAGGAAAUAAAAGGGACUCUCAAAGGUCAUCUAGAUGGUCUCAUAGGACCAUAGGUAAGGAAAGUGACCUCCAAAAGCCAUCUAGAUGGUCCCACAAGGCUGUAGCUAAGCAAAGAGACCUUCAAAGACCAUCUAGACAAUCUCAUAAGACCAUAGGUAAGCAAAGAGACCUCCAAACACCAGGUAGACUGAGGUCAACCCUAAGUCUCCAGUUUAGGACAAGGGCCAGGUCAAUGACCUUGGAGGGCUGCAUCUGGCCCACAGGCCUUAGUUUGGGGACCCCUGAUAUAAACAGACACAGGCAAACAUUCAGUGCCUUGUUACAAUGACAUACAAUGAGACACGGGUACACAGACAAAGGCAAAGGCUUCUCCUUUCAUUUCUGGUUCUGGAGACAGUGCUCAGCUCAGCUCUGGCCCUGUGGGAGGGGCUCUUCUCCAUUUCCAAGCCAAGGAGACGGUGUUGUCCGUAGACUCCUCCUGGCCGCGUGGCCACAGCAGCUGCCCUCUUGACCCUCCUUUCCUCCUCUUCAAGACCGCUGCCGCCUUUCCCCCGUCACCGGACCCUGCAAAGCCGCAAUGCCACGGUUCUACUACAACUGGGGCAGCAAGAGGUGCGAGAAGUUCAUCUACGGGGGGUGCUACGGCAACCUGAACAGGUUUGAGACCAAGGAGGAGUGCGAGCGGGCCUGCAAGGGCAAAGGUGAGCGGGGGGACGGGCCUCACCCCAUCCGGGCAGCAAAGUCCUGCUGCUCAGACAGGGAUCCUGGUCUUGGAAGGGAGCCCUGAGGCCACCCAGUCCAG